This is a long non-coding RNA of Cervus elaphus (red deer), 641 nucleotides long. RefSeq lists it as uncharacterized. The record is from RefSeq and is a predicted model, not a curated record. The transcript is spliced from 3 exons. Lineage: Eukaryota; Metazoa; Chordata; Mammalia; Artiodactyla; Cervidae.
UUCCCUCCCUGUGCCCACACUGCCCACCAGGCAGGAGUUGUGUGUGGUCAGGGCUGUGGCAGAGAAAAAGGGCGGCCUUGCAAGACCCAGAUUAUGAGCCUAGAUCCACCACAUUGUGCCUAACUGACCUGGAGAAGAUUCUCACAUGCACGGGAUGGAAAUAAAAAUACAGUCCUGGCCUUCUGCACAAGGUCUUUGCCAGAAUCAAGUGAGAUCAAGAACAAGAGGAAUCUUCAUCAAGAGUCAAGUGCAAUGAAAAGGUGAGAGAAUCAUUCCUGAGCCAGUUCACCCCAAAGAGCUGACAGUCUUCAAAGGAUUGUGGGUGAUAGACGUGGGGAGCAGUUCAGGGGCCUUGGCAUCUGGCCUGUUGGCUGAUCUCCCCAGUGAGUGGCCUGCUUUGCCCUGUUGGUCAGGACAGUGUCCAGAGGACAGAAGAGGUAUGAGGGAGUAGGUGUGGACCGCCCCACGCCCAGGCAGGAGCAAUCAAUUGCCACAGUGAGGCUCAGGAGCUCCCGCUUCUCCCUGCUCCCUUCCAGUUCCAGCUGGAGGGGCCUCAUGGAUCCCAGUGAGGAUGUCAUGGAACAGAGCCCCCUGCUGACCUGAGAUGGACAUGUAGCAUGAGUGAGAAAUAAAUCUUUCUU